UCCAAUUGAAGAGCGGCUAAGGAAACUGUAGUCAUUCGCCGGCCGGCUAAAGCGAGAGUUCAAGCUGGCCCGGCUGUGGAAUGCUGGGAUAGAGGGGGAGCCUCGUUCCCUCCAGCAGGCUACUUGGGCCAGCACGCUGACGACCCUGUCAAGUUCCCCGCCGUUUUUCAAUCGGGAGGAAUUUCUCCUGCUUUUUUGAAGGGAGUCUGUUGCAGAGGAUUGUUGGUGUUAAUGUGGUCGAUUCCAAAAUAUGCCAACACCUGCCGACAGUGUCCUGCAGGGGGACAUCCAGAAAUGACUGUCAGCGGCAAGUGUCUGCAGUUCCCGCAAAGAGGCCGUUUGUGUGCGGCCUCCGAUCCCAGAGCCGUUCCUGAGGCCCGGAGCACCUGUCUCACAGGAGGCCAGGAGGUCGCACUGAAGAGGGCAGCUGAGCUUCCCCAGGCACAAUGCCAGAGAGAGGGGCCUAACCCCCACCGCCGACCAGCCCCACAGCGGCCCACCAGCCACUCUGGAGACCACCUGACUCAAGCGCCUCAGAGAAAGCACACACGCAGGCAGCCCGUCAGGUGGUGCUCGGGGUCUGAGUGGAACUCACCCCCUGUGGCUCCCCGAGGGAGCAACCGCCGCCAAGGUGAGAGUGACGUCAGGGGAGAGAGAAGAGCGUGAUCGCUUCCGCUAGCGCUAACGACUUUAUCAGAAAUAAGGUCGUCAAAAACAGGUUGUCUUCGACUCCCGACACUUAAAUGUUGAAUACUGUCACAGCCUUCAGUACUAUGGAACACUGAAUUUAAUAUUGUCAGGUUUUCUGCAAAGAGUUGAAGAAAUGACAUUUAAAACAUACUGUAUUACAGG
Conger conger (European conger) is the source of this 852-nucleotide long non-coding RNA. RefSeq lists it as uncharacterized. NCBI's taxonomy places the organism in Eukaryota, Metazoa, Chordata, Actinopteri, Anguilliformes, Congridae. The transcript is spliced from 3 exons. The record is from RefSeq and is a predicted model, not a curated record.